AAUUGACCAGGGCAAACCUGUGCGAAAGCCAGGGACGCAAAGCCACCGAUCUAACGCCCGCAAGGGCCAUGACCGCGGGGUUGCCAAG
Molecule: non-coding RNA, 88 nt
Filed under: Pseudomonas nitroreducens
Lineage: Bacteria; Pseudomonadati; Pseudomonadota; Gammaproteobacteria; Pseudomonadales; Pseudomonadaceae
Description: GEMM cis-regulatory element
Rfam family: c-di-GMP-I riboswitch aptamer
About the family: GEMM was predicted in a large-scale screen for bacterial structured RNA regulatory elements. Genes associated with GEMM are involved in a diverse array of functions, including chemotaxis regulation, signal transduction, secretion and chitin.
Source: RNAcentral